This 468-nucleotide ribosomal RNA is filed under the name uncultured bacterium. RNAcentral describes it as "partial 16S ribosomal RNA". It matches the Rfam family "Bacterial small subunit ribosomal RNA", at positions 28 to 507 of the family's 1533-position model. The record is from RNAcentral.
GACGAACGCUGGCGGCGUGCUUAACACAUGCAAGUCGAACGGAAAGGCCCUGCAUUUGUGGGGUGCUCGAGUGGCGAACGGGUGAGUAACAAGAGAGUAAACUGCCCUUGACUUUGGGAUAACUUCAGGAAACUGGGGCUAAUACCGGAUAGGAGCUCCUGCUGCAUGGUGGGGGUUGGAAAGUUUCGGCGGUUGGGGAUGGACUCGCGGCUUAUCAGCUUGUUGGUGGGGUAGUGGCUUACCAAGGCUUUGACGGGUAGCCGGCCUGAGAGGGUGACCGGCCACAUUGGGCCUGAGAUACGGCCCAGACUCCUACGGGAGGCAGCAGUGGGGAAUAUUGCACAAUGGGCGGAAGCCUGAUGCAGCAACGCCGCGUGUGGGAUGUCGGCCUUCGGUUUGUAUACCGCUUUCGCCUGUGACGAAGCGUGAGUGACGGUAAUGGGUAAAGAAGCACCGGCUAACUACGUG